GUUCGUAGGUGACCUGCGGAGGACAUUAUCGAGUUAGACCGGGAAGGGGUUUCCUCGGACUCUCCUUCCUAGUUUUCCUUAUUUCACCUGUGCACCCUCUGUAGGCCCUCGAGAGAGGAUCUAUGUUUUCUAUAAUCUACUCUAUCGCAUGUCCAGAACGUAUACAUACAAACUUUUACAACUUUCAGCAACGGAUCUCUUGGCUCUCGCAUCGAUGAAGAACGCAGCGAAUUGCGAUAAGUAAUGUGAAUUGCAGAUUUUCAGUGAAUCAUCGAAUCUUUGAACGCACCUUGCGCUCCUUGGUAUUCCGAGGAGCAUGCCUGUUUGAGUGUCAUGGAAUUCUCAACCGUGUCCUCGAUCUGAUCUCGAGGCAUGGCUUGGACUUGGGAGUUGCUGGCGGCCUCGUCAGCUCUCCUCAAACACAUUAGCGAUGUUCAGCAAGCCUGACGUGCACGGCCUUUUUUCGACGUGAUAACGAUCGUCGUGGGCUGGAGCGGAGGGGGUGCGGGUGAAUCCCUUCCAAUUCCUUAAACCUUUGGUCCUUUUCCCUUUGGAAGGGAAUAAUCACGGGCUUUUCCAUUUCCAUCUUGGGUGGGGGGGAAAACCUUU
RNAcentral lists this ribosomal RNA (609 nucleotides) under uncultured fungus. Its description in RNAcentral is "eukaryotic LSU rRNA". The stretch from base 180 to 334 matches the Rfam family "5.8S ribosomal RNA". Lineage: Eukaryota; Fungi. The record is from RNAcentral.